GUACACUCCUGCGGGAGGCAGCAGUGGGGAAUAUUGGACAAUGGGCGCAAGCCUGAUCCAGCCAUGCCGCGUGAGUGAUGAAGGCCCUAGGGUUGUAAAGCUCUUUCACCGGUGAAGAUAAUGACGGUAACCGGAGAAGAAGCCCCGGCUAACUUCGUGCCAGCAGCCGCGGUAAUACGAAGGGGGCUAGCGUUGUCCGGAUUUACUGGGCGUAAAGCGCACGUAGGCGGACUAUUAAGUCAGGGGUGAAAUCCUGGGGCUCAACCCCGGAACUGCCUUUGAUACUGGUAGUCUUGAGUUCGAGAGAGGUGAGUGGAAUUCCGAGUGUAGAGGUGAAAUUCGUAGAUAUUCGGAGGAACACCAGUGGCGAAGGCGGCUCACUGGCUCGAUACUGACGCUGAGGUGCGAAAGCGUGGGGAGCAAACAGGAUUAGAAACCCCGGUAGUCCCAUG
RNAcentral lists this ribosomal RNA (452 nucleotides) under uncultured organism. RNAcentral describes it as "partial 16S ribosomal RNA". It matches the Rfam family "Bacterial small subunit ribosomal RNA", at positions 331 to 799 of the family's 1533-position model. The record is from RNAcentral.